CAACGAAGAAGAAAAAAAAAAAGUUAAAUAGCAACUGUGGUGCGGUUCAUAAUCAACCACCAUAAAACCCCAAUACAGGGGCCCCGCGGAUUAACCUCGGAUCCCGCGGGAAGCAGUAUUGAAACCGACCCAGCGUGAGGCCUGGAGGAUCUUCUAACAGUUGACGAGGCAAACAGGAAGUGAAAACGUCAACCAAGAAGUCAUAAAAACCUUGAAGCAAGCACACUUGGGCUUUUUAGAGAAACGUCCAAGUCACAAAAUCAGAGCCGACCGAGUUCAACAAAGUUCCUCUCCCUGCGCCUGGAAUCAAAGAGCUUCCUCUGUGACAUUUCAGGGGGGGAAAGACGGAGACAAAACGAGCAAUGACAGUAUGGCGGCGGGAGGAGAGGUCGUACAUGUUGAAGGCCCAAUUGAGCUUCUGCUCAAAGCUGCCCCUGGACGUGAUGGACAGCGCGCAGAUGAACUCCCUGAAGUCGAUGGUCCCGUCGCCAUUUUUGUCGAAGGUCCUGAAAGCGUGCUGGGCG
Molecule: long non-coding RNA, 524 nt
Organism: Syngnathoides biaculeatus (alligator pipefish)
Lineage: Eukaryota; Metazoa; Chordata; Actinopteri; Syngnathiformes; Syngnathidae
Exons: 5
Source: RefSeq, a predicted model, not a curated record